RNAcentral lists this non-coding RNA (117 nucleotides) under Flammeovirga yaeyamensis. The record is from RNAcentral. Lineage: Bacteria; Pseudomonadati; Bacteroidota; Cytophagia; Cytophagales; Flammeovirgaceae.
GUAAGCCGUAUGAGGGAAAACUUCACGUACGGUUUGAUGAAGGGGUUCUGAUAGUUUUCUCAAAAUGAUUACAUUUAUAAUUAUUUAAACUGAGAGAGCUAUCAGGCUCUACUCUAC